Molecule: long non-coding RNA, 582 nt
Filed under: Olea europaea (common olive)
Lineage: Eukaryota; Viridiplantae; Streptophyta; Magnoliopsida; Lamiales; Oleaceae
Description: long non-coding RNA (OEUR_LNC003915)
Source: RNAcentral
AUGAACAUCACAGCAAAAACAUAUGGAAAGCAGCUAUACAAUACCACCAACAACUGCAAAUGAGCACAUCGUAUACAUCAAAGCUGUAAAUAUAGAGACAACCACCAACAAGACACCAUAUGAAGUCAUCUUCAUCCUUGACUCACACCUCCAAGAUGACGACCAAUUGCUCACCAACAUCAUACAACCAGGCACUUCACAUGAAGCUCACAACCAUGCAAACAAAAAACAAAAGCAAGAGUAGUUGUUCAACACCUAAAAAUACAUAUUUUGUAUUUCUUUUGCACGCUUGUGUCCAGAGUCAAGCAAACCCGAUUCCCAGUAUUUCUAUUUGCCAUACUAAAUUUUGUUCGUUGUCCAUAUUAACAUGUUAGAAACCAUGUACCCAUGUAUGGCACGCAACAUCUCUGUGUAUGGCACCUAAGAACUCUGUUUUGUACUUUAUAUUACUUUUGCCAAUGUAACUACUUGUGGACAAAUAUUUUAUAUAAUCUAAUGUAAUCAUCCUUCUAGCCAAAUCUUCUUUUCCAAUAAGAUGCCACAUGAUCAAAUUUCAACAUUAUUAUUUACACUGCAAUACCC